This 433-nucleotide ribosomal RNA is filed under the name uncultured bacterium. Its description in RNAcentral is "partial 16S ribosomal RNA". It matches the Rfam family "Bacterial small subunit ribosomal RNA", at positions 29 to 507 of the family's 1533-position model. The record is from RNAcentral.
AACGAACGCUGGCGGCAUGCCUAACACAUGCAAGUCGAACGAGACCUUCGGGUCUAGUGGCGCACGGGUGCGUAACGCGUGGGAACCUGCCCUUAGGUUCGGAAUAACUCCCCGAAAGGGGUGCUAAUACCGGAUAAUGUCUUCGGACCAAAGAUUUAUCGCCUUUGGAUGGGCCGGCGUUGUAUUAGCUAGUUGGUAGGGUAAAAGCCUACCAAGGCGACGAUCCAUAGCUGGUCUGAGAGGAUGAUCAGCCACACUGGGACUGAGACACGGCCCAGACUCCUACGAGAGGCAGCAGUGGGGAAUAUUGGACAAUGGGCGAAAGCCUGAUCCAGCAAUGCCGCGUGAGUGAUGAAGGCCUUAGGGUUGUAAAGCUCUUUUACCCGGGAUGAUAAUGACAGUACCGGGAGAAUAAGCUCCGGCUAACUCCGUG